UACGUAGGGGGCACGCGUUGUCCGGAUUUAUUGGGCGUAAAGAGCGUGUAGGCGGCCUGAAAGGUCAGCUGUGAAAACUCGAGGCUCAACCUCGAGACGUCGGUUGAAACCAUCUGGCUAGAGUCCGGAAGAGGAGUGUGGAAUUCCCGGUGUAGCGGUGAAAUGCGCAGAUAUCGGGAAGAACACCCGUGGCGAAGGCGGCACUCUGGGACGGUACUGACGCUGAGACGCGAAAGCGUGGGGAGCGAACAGG
This 253-nucleotide ribosomal RNA is filed under the name uncultured bacterium. RNAcentral describes it as "partial 16S ribosomal RNA". It matches the Rfam family "Bacterial small subunit ribosomal RNA", at positions 524 to 776 of the family's 1533-position model. The record is from RNAcentral.